RNAcentral lists this ribosomal RNA (253 nucleotides) under uncultured bacterium. RNAcentral's name for it is "partial 16S ribosomal RNA". It matches the Rfam family "Bacterial small subunit ribosomal RNA", at positions 524 to 776 of the family's 1533-position model. The record is from RNAcentral.
UACAGAGGUCUCAAGCGUUGUUCGGAUUCAUUGGGCGUAAAGGGUGCGUAGGCGGCGCGGUAAGUCGGGUGUGAAAUCUCGGAGCUUAACUCCGAAACUGCAUUCGAUACUGCCGUGCUUGAGGACUGGAGAGGAGACUGGAAUUUACGGUGUAGCGGUGAAAUGCGUAGAUAUCGCUUGGAACGCCGAGGGUGAAAACAGGCUGCUGGGGUUGCGCCGACGCUGAGACACGAAAGCCAGGGGAGCAAACGGG